RNAcentral lists this ribosomal RNA (305 nucleotides) under uncultured bacterium. RNAcentral's name for it is "bacterial SSU rRNA". It matches the Rfam family "Bacterial small subunit ribosomal RNA", at positions 332 to 655 of the family's 1533-position model. The record is from RNAcentral.
UUGACCUACGGGGGGCAGCAGUGGGGGAUAUUGCACAAUGAGGGGAACCCCGAUGCAGCGACGCCGCGUGAGUGAAGAAGUAUUUCGGUAUGUAAAGCUCUAUCAGCAGGGAAGAAGAAAGACGGUACCUGACUAAGAAGCCCCGGCUAACUACGUGCCAGCAGCCGCGGUGAUACGUAGGGGGCAAGCGUUAUCCGGAUUUACUGGGUGUAAAGGGAGCGUAGACGGCUGUGCAAGUCUGAAGUGAAAGCCCAGGGCUCAACCCUGGGACUGCUUUGGAAACUGUGGAGCUAGAGUGCUGGCGG